Molecule: ribosomal RNA, 2899 nt
Filed under: Klebsiella pneumoniae
Lineage: Bacteria; Pseudomonadati; Pseudomonadota; Gammaproteobacteria; Enterobacterales; Enterobacteriaceae
Description: bacterial LSU rRNA
Rfam family: Bacterial large subunit ribosomal RNA
Source: RNAcentral
UUAAGCGACUAAGCGUACACGGUGGAUGCCCUGGCAGUCAGAGGCGAUGAAGGACGUGCUAAUCUGCGAAAAGCGUCGGUAAGGUGAUAUGAACCGUUAUAACCGGCGAUGUCCGAAUGGGGAAACCCAGUGCAAUUCGUUGCACUAUCGUUAACUGAAUACAUAGGUUAACGAGGCGAACCGGGGGAACUGAAACAUCUAAGUACCCCGAGGAAAAGAAAUCAACCGAGAUUCCCCCAGUAGCGGCGAGCGAACGGGGAGCAGCCCAGAGUCUGAAUCAGCUUGUGUGUUAGUGGAACGGUCUGGAAAGUCCGACGGUACAGGGUGAUAGUCCCGUACACCAAAAUGCACAGGCUGUGAACUCGAAGAGUAGGGCGGGACACGUGGUAUCCUGUCUGAAUAUGGGGGGACCAUCCUCCAAGGCUAAAUACUCCUGACUGACCGAUAGUGAACCAGUACCGUGAGGGAAAGGCGAAAAGAACCCCGGCGAGGGGAGUGAAAAAGAACCUGAAACCGUGUACGUACAAGCAGUGGGAGCACCUUCGGGUGUGACUGCGUACCUUUUGUAUAAUGGGUCAGCGACUUAUAUUCUGUAGCAAGGUUAACCGUAUAGGGGAGCCGCAGGGAAACCGAGUCUUAACUGGGCGUUAAGUUGCAGGGUAUAGACCCGAAACCCGGUGAUCUAGCCAUGGGCAGGUUGAAGGUUGGGUAACACUAACUGGAGGACCGAACCGACUAAUGUUGAAAAAUUAGCGGAUGACUUGUGGCUGGGGGUGAAAGGCCAAUCAAACCGGGAGAUAGCUGGUUCUCCCCGAAAGCUAUUUAGGUAGCGCCUCGUGAACUCAUCUUCGGGGGUAGAGCACUGUUUCGGCUAGGGGGUCAUCCCGACUUACCAACCCGAUGCAAACUACGAAUACCGAAGAAUGUUAUCACGGGAGACACACGGCGGGUGCUAACGUCCGUCGUGAAGAGGGAAACAACCCAGACCGCCAGCUAAGGUCCCAAAGUCAUGGUUAAGUGGGAAACGAUGUGGGAAGGCACAGACAGCCAGGAUGUUGGCUUAGAAGCAGCCAUCAUUUAAAGAAAGCGUAAUAGCUCACUGGUCGAGUCGGCCUGCGCGGAAGAUGUAACGGGGCUAAACCAUGCACCGAAGCUGCGGCAGCGACACUAUGUGUUGUUGGGUAGGGGAGCGUUCUGUAAGCCUGCGAAGGUGUGCUGUGAGGCAUGCUGGAGGUAUCAGAAGUGCGAAUGCUGACAUAAGUAACGAUAAAGCGGGUGAAAAGCCCGCUCGCCGGAAGACCAAGGGUUCCUGUCCAACGUUAAUCGGGGCAGGGUGAGUCGACCCCUAAGGCGAGGCCGAAAGGCGUAGUCGAUGGGAAACAGGUUAAUAUUCCUGUACUUGGUGUUACUGCGAAGGGGGGACGGAGAAGGCUAUGUUAGCCGGGCGACGGUUGUCCCGGUUUAAGCAUGUAGGCUGGUUAUCCAGGCAAAUCCGGAUAAUCAAGGCUGAGGUGUGAUGACGAGGCACUACGGUGCUGAAGUAACAAAUGCCCUGCUUCCAGGAAAAGCCUCUAAGCAUCAGGUAACAUCAAAUCGUACCCCAAACCGACACAGGUGGUCAGGUAGAGAAUACCAAGGCGCUUGAGAGAACUCGGGUGAAGGAACUAGGCAAAAUGGUGCCGUAACUUCGGGAGAAGGCACGCUGGUGUGUAGGUGAAGUCCCUGCGGAUGGAGCUGAGACCAGUCGAAGAUACCAGCUGGCUGCAACUGUUUAUUAAAAACACAGCACUGUGCAAACACGAAAGUGGACGUAUACGGUGUGACGCCUGCCCGGUGCCGGAAGGUUAAUUGAUGGGGUUAUCCGUAAGGAGAAGCUCUUGAUCGAAGCCCCGGUAAACGGCGGCCGUAACUAUAACGGUCCUAAGGUAGCGAAAUUCCUUGUCGGGUAAGUUCCGACCUGCACGAAUGGCGUAAUGAUGGCCAGGCUGUCUCCACCCGAGACUCAGUGAAAUUGAACUCGCUGUGAAGAUGCAGUGUACCCGCGGCAAGACGGAAAGACCCCGUGAACCUUUACUAUAGCUUGACACUGAACAUUGAGCCUUGAUGUGUAGGAUAGGUGGGAGGCUUUGAAGCGUGGACGCCAGUCUGCGUGGAGCCAACCUUGAAAUACCACCCUUUAAUGUUUGAUGUUCUAACGUUGGCCCCUGACCGGGGUUGCGGACAGUGUCUGGUGGGUAGUUUGACUGGGGCGGUCUCCUCCCAAAGCGUAACGGAGGAGCACGAAGGUUAGCUAAUCCUGGUCGGACAUCAGGAGGUUAGUGCAAUGGCAUAAGCUAGCUUGACUGCGAGCGUGACGGCGCGAGCAGGUGCGAAAGCAGGUCAUAGUGAUCCGGUGGUUCUGAAUGGAAGGGCCAUCGCUCAACGGAUAAAAGGUACUCCGGGGAUAACAGGCUGAUACCGCCCAAGAGUUCAUAUCGACGGCGGUGUUUGGCACCUCGAUGUCGGCUCAUCACAUCCUGGGGCUGAAGUAGGUCCCAAGGGUAUGGCUGUUCGCCAUUUAAAGUGGUACGCGAGCUGGGUUUAGAACGUCGUGAGACAGUUCGGUCCCUAUCUGCCGUGGGCGCUGGAGAAUUGAGGGGGGCUGCUCCUAGUACGAGAGGACCGGAGUGGACGCAUCACUGGUGUUCGGGUUGUCAUGCCAAUGGCACUGCCCGGUAGCUAAAUGCGGAAGAGAUAAGUGCUGAAAGCAUCUAAGCACGAAACUUGCCCCGAGAUGAGUUCUCCCUGAGACUAUAAGUCUCCUGAAGGAACGUUAAAGACGAUGACGUUGAUAGGCCGGGUGUGUAAGCGCAGCGAUGCGUUGAGCUAACCGGUACUAAUGAACCGUGAGGCUUAACCU